CUAUACAUGCAGUCGAACGAAACUUUCUUACACCGAAUGCUUGCAUUCACCGUAAGAAGUUGAGUGGCGGACGGGUGAGUAACACGUGGGUAACCUGCCUAAAAGAAGGGGAUAACACUUGGAAACAGGUGCUAAUACCGUAUAUCUCUAAGGAUCGCAUGAUCCUUAGACGAAAGAUGGUUCUGCUAUCGCUUUUAGAUGGACCCGCGGCGUAUUAACUAGUUGGUGGGGUAACGGCCUACCAAGGUGAUGAUACGUAGCCGAACUGAGAGGUUGAUCGGCCACAUUGGGACUGAGACACGGCCCAAACUCCUACGGGAGGCAGCAGUAGGGAAUCUUCCACAAUGGACGCAAGUCUGAUGGAGCAACGCCGCGUGAGUGAAGAAGGUCUUCGGAUCGUAAAACUCUGUUGUUAGAGAAGAACACGAGUGAGAGUAACUGUUCAUUCGAUGACGGUAUCUAACCAGCAAGUCACGGCUAACUACGUGCCAGCAGCCGCGGUAAUACGUAGGUGGCAAGCGUUGUCCGGAUUUAUUGGGCGUAAAGGGAACGCAGGCGGUCUUUUAAGUCUGAUGUGAAAGCCUUCGGCUUAACCGGAGUAGUGCAUUGGAAACUGGAAGACUUGAGUGCAGAAGAGGAGAGUGGAACUCCAUGUGUAGCGGUGAAAUGCGUAGAUAUAUGGAAGAACACCAGUGGCGAAAGCGGCUCUCUGGUCUGUAACUGACGCUGAGGUUCGAAAGCGUGGGUAGCAAACAGGAUUAGAUACCCUGGUAGUCCACGCCGUAAACGAUGAAUGCUAGGUGUUGGGAGGGUUUCCGCCCUUCAGUGCCGCAGCUAACGCAAUAAGCAUUCCGCCUGGGGAGUACGACCGCAAGGUUGAAACUCAAAGGAAUUGACGGGGGCCCGCACAAGCGGUGGAGCAUGUGGUUUAAUUCGAAGCAACGCGAAGAACCUUACCAGGUCUUGACAUCCUUUGACCACCUAAGAGAUUAGGCUUUCCCUUCGGGGACAAGUGACAGGUGGUGCAUGGCUGUCGUCAGCUCGUGUCGUGAGAUGGUUGGGUUAAUUCCCGCACGAGCGCAACCCUUGUUGUCAUUGCCAGCAUUAAUUUGGGCCUCUGGCAGACUGCCGUGACAACCGAAGAAAGGUGGGGACACCUCCAGUCUCCAGCCCCUAUAACCGGGGGAACACCUGGUUCAUGGAGGGUCACCAAUCCCGAACCGCGGGUUUGCUAUCUUUAAACCUUUUCUUUUUGAAUUUAGGGGCACUCGCCGCCGAAAUCGAA
Molecule: ribosomal RNA, 1285 nt
Filed under: Ligilactobacillus salivarius
Lineage: Bacteria; Bacillati; Bacillota; Bacilli; Lactobacillales; Lactobacillaceae
Description: bacterial SSU rRNA
Rfam family: Bacterial small subunit ribosomal RNA
Source: RNAcentral